RNAcentral lists this ribosomal RNA (370 nucleotides) under uncultured eukaryote. RNAcentral describes it as "partial 18S ribosomal RNA". It matches the Rfam family "Eukaryotic small subunit ribosomal RNA", at positions 592 to 976 of the family's 1831-position model. The record is from RNAcentral.
CAAUAGCGUAUAUUAAAGUUGUUGCAGUUAAAAAGCUCGUAGUUGGACCUUGGACCUGGACAGGCGGUCCGCCUCACGGCGUGUACUGUCUUGCUGGGUCUUUCCUCCUGGUGAUCUGUUGUUUCGGCAGCAGGGAACCAGGACUUUUACUUUGAAAAAAUUAGAGUGUUCAAAGCAGGCUCGACGCCGGAAUAUAUUAGCAUGGAAUAAUAAAAUAGGACGUGCGGUUCUAUUUUGUUGGUUUUUGGAAUCGCCGUAAUGAUUAAUAGGGACAGUCGGGGGCAUUAGUACUCACAUGCUAGAGGUGAAAUUCUUGGAUUUUGUGAAGACUAACUUCUGCGAAAGCAUUUGCCAAGGAUGUUUUCAUUAA